AGGACGAACGCUGGCGGCGUGCUUAACACAUGCAAGUCACGGGGGCCCGCAAGGGUAACCGGCGAACGGGUGCGUAACACGUGAGCAACCUGCCUAGAUGUGGGGGAUAGCCGGCCCAACGGCCGGGUAAUACCGCAUACGGUCACGAGGAGGAGUCUCCUUGUGAAGAAACCUCCGGGGCAUUUAGAGGGGCUCGCGGCCUAUCAGCUAGUUGGCGGGGUAAUGGCCCACCAAGGCUUCGACGGGUAGCUGGUCUGAGAGGAUGGCCAGCCACAUUGGGACUGAGAGACGGCCCAGACUCCUACGGGAGGCAGCAGUGGGAAUCUUGCGCAAUGGCCGAAAAGGCUGACGCAGCGACGCCGCGUGUGGGAGGACGCCCUUCGGGGUGUAAACCGAACUGUUGCCCGGGACGAACAUCCACUUUCGAGUGGACUGACGGGUACCGGUGAGGGAAGCGACCGGCUAACUCCGUGCCAGCAGCCGC
Molecule: ribosomal RNA, 484 nt
Filed under: uncultured bacterium
Lineage: Bacteria
Description: SSU rRNA
Rfam family: Bacterial small subunit ribosomal RNA
Source: RNAcentral